GAUGAAGAACGUAGCGAAAUGCGAUAAGUAGUGUGAAUUGCAGAAUUCAGUGAAUCAUCGAAUCUUUGAACGCACAUUGCGCCCGCUAGUAUUCUGGCGGGCAUGCCUGUCCGAGCGUCAUUUCAACCCUCAAGCCCCCGGGCUUGGUGUUGGGGAUCGGCGAGCCUCCGCGCCCGCCGUCCCCUAAAUCUAGUGGCGGUCUCGCUGUAGCUUCCUCUGCGUAGUAGCACACCUCGCACUGGGAAACAGCGCGGCCACGCCGUUAAACCCCCAACUUCUGAACGUUUGACCUCGGAUCAGGUAGGAAUACCCGCUGAACUUAAGCAUAUUAAUAAGCGGAGGA
RNAcentral lists this unclassified non-coding RNA (343 nucleotides) under soil metagenome. RNAcentral describes it as "partial contains 5.8S ribosomal RNA, internal transcribed spacer 2, and large subunit ribosomal RNA". The stretch from base 1 to 120 matches the Rfam family "5.8S ribosomal RNA", at positions 35 to 154 of the family's 154-position model. The record is from RNAcentral.